RNAcentral lists this ribosomal RNA (289 nucleotides) under uncultured Rhodoferax sp. Its description in RNAcentral is "partial 16S ribosomal RNA". It matches the Rfam family "Bacterial small subunit ribosomal RNA", at positions 1090 to 1382 of the family's 1533-position model. The record is from RNAcentral. Lineage: Bacteria; Pseudomonadati; Pseudomonadota; Betaproteobacteria; Burkholderiales; Comamonadaceae.
AACCGAGCGCAACCCUUGUCAUUAGUUGCUACAUUCAGUUGGGCACUCUAAUGAGACUGCCGGUGACAAGCCGGAGAAGGUGGGGAUGACGUCAAGUCCUCAUGGCCCUUAUAGGUGGGGCUACACACGUCAUACAAUGGCUGGUACAAAGGGUUGCCAACCCGCGAGGGGGAGCUAAUCCCAUAAAGCCAGUCGUAGUCCGGAUCGUAGUCUGCAACUCGACUACGUGAAGUCGGAAUCGCUAGUAAUCGUGGAUCAGAAUGUCACGGUGAAUACGUUCCCGGGUCUU